GUCCCAGUUCGGAUUGCAGCCUGCAACUCGGCUGCAUGAAGCUGGAAUCGCUAGUAAUCGCGGAUCAGAAUGCCGCGGUGAAUACGUUCCCGGGUCUUGUACACACCGCCCGUCACACCAUGGGAGUAGGUAAUGCCCGAAGUCGGUGACCUAACCGGAAGGAAGGAGCCGCCGAAGGCAGGACUUAUAACUGGGGUGAAGUCGUAACAAGGUAAC
RNAcentral lists this ribosomal RNA (216 nucleotides) under uncultured bacterium. RNAcentral's name for it is "partial 16S ribosomal RNA". It matches the Rfam family "Bacterial small subunit ribosomal RNA", at positions 1285 to 1500 of the family's 1533-position model. The record is from RNAcentral.